CCCGUGACUCCUGCAACUCCGCCACCGCGCCGCCGCGACCCCUCCGUCACCUGUGCCCCAGUCGGCCCGGGGCUGGAGGACGCCAGACCAAGCACCGCACCCAACCCGCGGCCCGGUCUCUCGGUCGACGCGGACGGUAGAAAGCCAGCAGCUACCAAGUGUGACAGGAGAAACAGCAGAGUGGAUGCAAUGGGAGUGUAGGAGGGGACGACAGUGAUUCGGAGUACGUGGCCCGGCUCAUGUCAGAAGCCCAGAGCUCACACUGGCCCAAGGCACCUACCUCUAUUUGACUAAGAGGCCAAUGGAAACCCCAGAAACAACGCUGGAAUCAGGGAAACUCAGCCCAACUCAGUGCACUCCAGGUGUGGCUGCACACAGGCAGAACCCCAUCUCCAGGACCCCUCACACCCUGCAGGACACUAUCAGCCUCAGCUGCUCCCAGGUUCUGAAGUUGUAACUGCAGAAUGAGCCAUUUGGGAAGAAACCUGUAUUUGAACAAAAGAAUUUGUGGACCAGAACUGUGAACCAUGAAAGUAUAUUAGAUGUUACCACCCUCCUUACAGAUGAUGGAAAAGAAACCUGGAGAGAUUAACCGACUUCACUGAAAUUAAAUGACCAUUAAAUGGCAGACCUACAAGGUUCAUUUAAAGAAACA
Molecule: long non-coding RNA, 655 nt
Organism: Cavia porcellus (domestic guinea pig)
Lineage: Eukaryota; Metazoa; Chordata; Mammalia; Rodentia; Caviidae
Exons: 3
Source: RefSeq, a predicted model, not a curated record